AUACGAAAGGUGCAAGCGUUGUUCGGAUUUACUGGGCGUAAAGAGAGUGUAGGUGGUUUAUUAAGUCGGAUGUGAAAUCCCGGGGCUCAACCUCGGAACUGCAUUCGAUACUGAUAGGCUAGAGUUUGGGAGGGGUAAGCGGAAUUCCGUGUGUAGCAGUGAAUGCGUAGAUAUACGGAGGAACACCUGAGGCGAAGGCGGCUUACUGGACCAAUACUGACACUGAGACUCGAAAGCGUGGGUAGCAAACAGGAUUAGAAACCCUAGUAGUCC
Molecule: ribosomal RNA, 273 nt
Filed under: uncultured bacterium
Lineage: Bacteria
Description: partial 16S ribosomal RNA
Rfam family: Bacterial small subunit ribosomal RNA
Source: RNAcentral